AGAGAGAUAUUUUUACACCUUGAGAGAGGAAAGAUCUUGAACUCCCUUUGUUUCUUUACUCUGUACUGUUUAUUUAUCUAUUGCAAUAUUAUUCAGACCAUCAUAACCAUGUCCUUUAUGAAUAUGUCUGAGUAAUCUCACUGUUAGAUUUAGGAUUCUCAUAAGAUUGUUAUAUGUAUUGCUAGCUUAAAUUGUUGUUAGGAUGAUUUAAUUAGUUCU
RNAcentral lists this long non-coding RNA (219 nucleotides) under Brassica napus (rape). Its description in RNAcentral is "long non-coding RNA (BNAP_LNC026692)". Lineage: Eukaryota; Viridiplantae; Streptophyta; Magnoliopsida; Brassicales; Brassicaceae. The record is from RNAcentral.